GUGGAACUCGCUCCCAGCCUAAAGAUGGAGGCUAGGCAACCAGCACAGUAUUCAGGCUGCUGGGGUUCAUACGUAUUGAAAUCCCAGUGUAGGGGCGGACUUCCCCAUGGGAAUGUCUGAUGAGUACUUUGAAUUACAGAUCUCUGUACAGGCCCUGUUAGAAAUGCCACUCUUCAGGGCAUUUCGUGUGUUUUCCUUUGAGGGCUCCUGGGACUUGUAAAUUCAGUUCAGUUCACCUUCUGAGGAAUGGGCUGACAAGCUGAAGUCUGAGCCAUAAGCUGCGAUGGAACCUAACUUCUGUGCCCCUUCAAUGUGGAACAUGUGGUCAUCAAAGAAGAUGUGGGGCCGGAUCUUCACUAAGAUGGGACUUUUGGGGGCUCCAGCAAGGAAAAGAGCUUCGUCUAUCUCUAGACCCCAGCGUCGAAGGUUCUUCAGCACACGGGCGCCUGAACUGGCUGCACUCUUAGCUGUAACCAGGUAGGUCCUGAUAGGACAAA
Molecule: long non-coding RNA, 497 nt
Organism: Symphalangus syndactylus (siamang)
Lineage: Eukaryota; Metazoa; Chordata; Mammalia; Primates; Hylobatidae
Source: RefSeq, a predicted model, not a curated record